UACGGGGGGGGCAAGCGUUGUUCGGAAUUACUGGGCGUAAAGGGUUCGUAGGUGGCCAACUAAGCCAGACGUGAAAUCCCUCAGCUUAACUGGGGAACUGCGUCUGGGACUGGAUGGCUUGAGUGCAGGAGAGGAACGCGGAAUUCCAGGUGUAGCGGUGAAAUGCGUAGAUAUCUGGAGGAACACCGGUGGCGAAGGCGGCGUUCUGGACUGCAACUGACACUGAGGAACGAAAGCCAGGGGAGCAAACAGG
RNAcentral lists this ribosomal RNA (253 nucleotides) under uncultured bacterium. RNAcentral describes it as "partial 16S ribosomal RNA". It matches the Rfam family "Bacterial small subunit ribosomal RNA", at positions 524 to 776 of the family's 1533-position model. The record is from RNAcentral.